RNAcentral lists this long non-coding RNA (420 nucleotides) under Fukomys damarensis (Damara mole-rat). RNAcentral's name for it is "lncRNA (ENSFDAG00000029691.1)". Lineage: Eukaryota; Metazoa; Chordata; Mammalia; Rodentia; Bathyergidae. The record is from RNAcentral.
AUCCCUUUCCAGAGCAAAGGAAUCAAAGCUGCAGAUUCUUGCUGCCUAAAUUGGGAGGCAGGCAGGGCAAAUUGACGUUCACACCUCCCAUCAAGCUGCUGCCCCUGGUCUCGUUGCUGUAGGCCCUGAGCAGUUGUAACCACCUGUGGUGCACCGGACUUUCAGAAAACUGACAUUCGACACAGAAAGGGAGACGGAGCGAAAAACGGCACUGCGACCCAGCGCGCUGGAGUACGCAUGGGCCCCGCCAGCCUCCUCUCUCUGUUCAGCCCCGACCCCGCCUAGGCUCCGCCCUCUGCCCCAGUCCAACCCCUGCCCUUCGGUCCAGACUCAGACCCCGCCUUCCACCUCGGCCCCGCCCUCUACCCAGGCCCAGACUCUGCCCAUCUACUCGGGCUCCGCUCUCCGCCCCCCAUCCAG